This 569-nucleotide ribosomal RNA is filed under the name uncultured bacterium. RNAcentral describes it as "bacterial SSU rRNA". It matches the Rfam family "Bacterial small subunit ribosomal RNA", at positions 819 to 1394 of the family's 1533-position model. The record is from RNAcentral.
GGUGUCGGGGGUCGAACCUCGGUGCCGCAGUUAACACAAUAAGUAUUCCGCCUGGGGAGUACGAUCGCAAGAUUAAAACUCAAAGGAAUUGACGGGGGCCCGCACAAGCAGCGGAGCAUGUGGUUUAAUUCGAAGCAACGCGAAGAACCUUACCUAGACUUGACAUCCCCUGCAUAACCCAGAGAUGGGCGAAGUCCUUCGGGACAGGGUGACAGGUGGUGCAUGGUUGUCGUCAGCUCGUGUCGUGAGAUGUUGGGUUAAGUCCCGCAACGAGCGCAACCCUUAUCAUUAGUUGCUACCAUUUAGUUGAGCACUCUACUGAGACUGCCCGGGUUAACCGGGAGGAAGGUGGGGAUGACGUCAAAUCAUCAUGCCCCUUAUGUCUAGGGCUACACACGUGCUACAAUGGUGAGUACAAAGAGAUGCAAGACCGCAAGGUGGAGCCAAACUCAAAAACUCAUCCCAGUUCGGAUUGUAGGCUGCAACUCGCCUACAUGAAGCCGGAGUUGCUAGUAAUCGCGAAUCAGCAUGUCGCGGUGAAUACGUUCCCGGGCCUUGUACACACCGCC